AAUAUACGUUCCAUGCCAUCGGCAGCUCCUAUAUAAACUAGAGAUGUCCAGAGAGCACCAAAUUACAGGCAGUAAUUGUCAUGAUAUAACCCUUCAACAACUCAUGAACCAAUGUUAUCUGCUUUAAAUUUGGUCCAGUGGAAUCAAUAUCAACAAAACACCUUGCUUGAUCAUGUAACAUGCCUUCUCAAUCAAUUAAACCCAAGCUCAUUACAUUAACAGAUUCAUCCUUGAACUAUCAUA
This 243-nucleotide unclassified non-coding RNA is filed under the name Hevea brasiliensis (rubber tree). Lineage: Eukaryota; Viridiplantae; Streptophyta; Magnoliopsida; Malpighiales; Euphorbiaceae. The record is from RNAcentral.